GAUGAACGCUAGCGGCAGGCUUAACACAUGCAAGUCGAGGGGCAGCACGGGUAGCAAUAUCUGGUGGCGACCGGCGCAAGGGUGCGUAACGCGUGAGCAACAUGCCCGUAUCAGGGGGAUAAUCCAGGGAAACUUGGUCUAAUACCCCAUAGCAAUUAAAGGAGGCAUCUUUUUAAUUUAAAGCUUUGGUGGAUACGGAUUGGCUCGCGUGACAUUAGCUAGAUGGUAAGGUAACGGCUUACCAUGGCUACGAUGUCUAGGGGUUCUGAGAGGAAGAUCCCCCACACUGGAACUGAGACACGGUCCAGACUCCUACGGGAGGCAGCAGUGAGGAAUAUUGGACAAUGGAUGGAAAUCUGAUCCAGCCAUGCCGCGUGCAGGAAGACGGCCCUAUGGGUUGUAAACUGCUUUUGAUGGGAGCAAUAAGGUCUAUGCGUAGACUGAUGAGAGUACCAUACGAAUAAGCAUCGGCUAACUCCG
This 480-nucleotide ribosomal RNA is filed under the name uncultured bacterium. Its description in RNAcentral is "bacterial SSU rRNA". It matches the Rfam family "Bacterial small subunit ribosomal RNA", at positions 28 to 505 of the family's 1533-position model. The record is from RNAcentral.